AACGAACGCUGGCGGCGUGCUUAAUACAUGCAAGUCGAACGAGAAAUCCCGGCUUCGGUUGGGAGAGUAAAGUGGCGAACGGGUGAGUAACACGUGGACAAUCUGCCUUUGAGUUCGGGAUAAUCCUUCGAAAGGGGGCCUAAUACCGAAUGACACCAUCGAGAGGAUUCUCCUGGUGGUCAAAGACGGGGCAACCUGUCGCUUGAAGAUGAGUCCGCGCUCCAUUAGCUUGAUGGUAGGGUAAAGGCCUACUAUGGCUGCGAUGGAUAGCCGGCCUGAGAGGGUGAUCGGCCACACUGGGACUGAGAUACGGCCCAGACUCCUACGGGAGGCAGCAGUAGGGAAUAUUGCGCAAUGGACGAAAGUCUGACGCAGCAACGCCGCGUGGGUGAUGAAGCAUUUUGGUGUGUAAAACCCUGUUAGCGGGGAAGAAACGUGAGGAGAAUAACUGCUCUUUACCUGACGGUACCCGCAGAGAAAGCACCGGCUAACUCCGUG
This 498-nucleotide ribosomal RNA is filed under the name uncultured bacterium. Its description in RNAcentral is "bacterial SSU rRNA". It matches the Rfam family "Bacterial small subunit ribosomal RNA", at positions 29 to 507 of the family's 1533-position model. The record is from RNAcentral.